UGCAGAGGAUGCUUCGGGUGCAGCGCCGGUCUAAGUUCCUUGGAACAGGACGUCAUAGAGGGUGAGAAUCCCGUAUGUGACCGGUGACCCAGCCCGCGUGAAGCUCCUUCGACGAGUCGAGUUGUUUGGGAAUGCAGCUCCAAAUGGGUGGUAAAUUUCAUCUAAAGCUAAAUACCGGCCAGAGACCGAUAGCGCACAAGUAGAGUGAUCGAAAGAUGAAAAGCACUUUGGAAAGAGAGUUAAAAAGUACGUGAAAUUGUUGAAAGGGAAGCGCUUGCAACCAGACUUGCCUGUGGGCGAUCAGCCGUCCGUCCGGGCGGUGCACUCGCCUGCAGUCAGGCCAGCAUCGGUUCAGGCGGCCGGAUAAAGGCCCUGGGAAUGUAGCUCCCCCCGGGGAGUGUUAUAGCCCGGGGUGCAAUGCGGCCCGCCGGGACCGAGGACCGCGCUUCGGCUAGGAUGCUGGCGUAAUGGUUGCAAGCGACCCGUCUUGAAACACGGACCAAGGAGUCUAACAUCUAUGCGAGUGUUUGGGCGUCAAACCCACGCGCGGAAUGAAAGUGAACGGAGGUGGGAACCCUUCCGGGGCGCACCAUCGACCGAUCCUGAUGUCUUCGGAUGGAUUUGAGUAAGAGCAUGGCUGUUGGGACCCGAAAGAUGGUGAACUAUGCCUGAAUAGGGUGAAGCCAGAGGAAACUCUGGUGGAGGCUCGCAGCGGUUCUGACGUGCAAAUCGAUCGUCAAAUUUGGGUAUAGGGGCGAAAGACUAAUCGAACCAUCUAGUAGCUGGUUCCUGCCGAAGUUUCCCUCAGGAUAGCAGUAACGUUU
RNAcentral lists this ribosomal RNA (824 nucleotides) under Umbilicaria arctica. RNAcentral's name for it is "eukaryotic LSU rRNA". It matches the Rfam family "Eukaryotic large subunit ribosomal RNA", at positions 151 to 992 of the family's 3401-position model. The record is from RNAcentral. Lineage: Eukaryota; Fungi; Ascomycota; Lecanoromycetes; Umbilicariales; Umbilicariaceae.